UACAGAGGUCUCAACCGUUGUUCGGAUUUAUUGGGCGUAAAGGGUGCGUAGGCGGUUGCGUAAGUCAGGUGUGAAAUCUCGGGGCUCAACUUCGAAACUGCACUUGAUACUGCGCGACUAGAGUACUGGAGAGGAGACUGGAAUUUACGGUGUAGCAGUGAAAUGCGUAGAUAUCGUAAGGAAGACCAGUGGCGAAGGCGAGUCUCUGGACAGUUACUGACGCUGAGGCACGAAGGCUAGGGGAGCAAACGGG
This 253-nucleotide ribosomal RNA is filed under the name uncultured bacterium. RNAcentral's name for it is "partial 16S ribosomal RNA". It matches the Rfam family "Bacterial small subunit ribosomal RNA", at positions 524 to 776 of the family's 1533-position model. The record is from RNAcentral.